CUUCACGUUUUCUCUCCCUGUUGUCGGUGAGACAAAGUCCCUGGGCUUCGGCAACUCUUCCCCUGGAAUGGGCGCAGUGAGAACCGUGUCGGCCGUUUACCUUCCACGCAUGAUGGCUGGUACGGCGGCCGCCGUCUUCAUUUACUACUCCCCGCGAGUCGCUCUGGCGGCGGCCGCCGUCGGCGGAAGCCCUUUCCUCUGAGUCGCUUUCCAGCGUCCCGACUCCGGCCACCUGGAGGGAGUGGUGGCGGAGCCGUUGCCUUGGAAACGAGUAAACUUCCGGCGUGGUGCGGUAAUUUCCGAUUGCUCAUUGAUACGUCACUUCCUACUUCCUUCCUUUCACCUUUUUCAAGGCUUUGCUUUUGGAGCGGUGGGAAGUAGGUGUGGAUCAGUUUUCGGUGAGAUUUUUGAUCCGUCUUGAAGAACCUAUCGAAGCCUGAGGUUCAUCUUGAGAACAGCUUGUCAUCCAUCUCGCCCUCUAUCGCUCAGCGACCCAAAUGGAGGCCCCAGGACUGCAGUCUGCGUAGGUGACCUGUGUAGCGCGGGCCGGGUGGGGCCUUUUCGUCCUUGGCAAACCUAAUAUACUUUUUCAGUGCUGAUUGGAAGAAAAUCUGUUCUUAUCCUGUAAUUUCACAAAUAUUGAAAAAGACCUAAGAGAGAAUUUAGCAGCUACAGCCGCUGGCGUUAUUGAGUGCCUACUAAUGCCGGGCUCUGUGAUUAUCUCGCUAGGUGUUAAUCCCCAUUUUACAGGUCAAGACUCAAUAUAUCAGUAAAUUUCUAACGUCGGACAGCAGGUAAGUUGUAAAGCCGGUGUAAAAACACAGGUCAUUCAUUCGUCGAAAGACUGCUCCAGGUCUUCUAACCUCAAAUCCAGAUUUCUUUCACUGUAACAUGUUCCUAUUCAACAAUCUGACUAAAAUCUUUCUCUCCAACUCCAUUGAUUAACACAAUCGCUUCCAUUCACUAUUUGUUGUAAAUUUAUGGGUCAGGUUUUGUGCCAGCAGCAGAAAAUACUAAGAGUUCUCUGCCCUUCAGGGAUAUGGCCCACCUUGCUUCCCCUCUCAGCUGUUUUUUCCACUAUUAAUGCCUUACCACACAUAUCUUCUCCCUUCAAGAAUAAUGAACUGGGGUCCUGGAAACACUUUUUCAUAUAUGUGCUGUGCUGUUCCUACUACCCAAAACUACCCUGCCUCCCCCAUCCCCAAACCCAUCAUCCCACCCUCCAGCUUUGUCCAGAGGACACAUUUGGGGAAUUCUGCAGACACUACCUCUUCUCUUUUGAGGUACAAUUACCUUUCUUGAACAUAGCAUCUUGUAAUUAAUAAUAAAUUUACUGAAUUCAUAAAUCACUCCGCCCCCACUAUAUGAAGUGCUUUAUUUUAGUUUUCUUCUGUAAUUCAUACUGCAGCCUUCCAAAAUAGAUAUUCCUUUUUACAGAUCAAAAAAAAAGGCACAAAAGUUUAUUGCUUAAGGAUACACAGUAAAAAUAUCUGAGUGAAGAGUCCAACUUAGGUCCUUCAGUCUUGCUGCACAUAUUCUCAGAGUCUUAAUUUCCACGAACUAUAUCAAUUAGAUCACUUAUCACCUUUGUAUUGUAAUUGCCUAUUUAACAGUUCUCACUUCCACCCCAACCUCCAGGGGUUCUGAGCUUCUGGAAGGUAGAGACUAUAUCUUAUCCAUCUUGGCAUUCUUAACAUCUGGAAUAUUUACUUCAAGGAAAGGGCUUAGUUGGAAGCUGUUGGGUGGAUGAGUGGGGUGGCUUGAAAGAUUGUCAGGUGGAUGAACAGAUAAAGUUUGAAAAUAAGGUUUUUUUAUUAUUAAAAAGAAGUUUGGGAUUAGUCUUCAUUCCAAUCUGAUUUCAGAAAUGGGGAACUGUGGCCAUUAGUCUUUCAUAUUUAUUGAGUUAUAAAUAUGAGCAAUUUUAUGCUAAAUGGUUCACAGAUACUUUAAACCUAAUCUUUACUAUUAUUUUUAUUUUUACAGAUGAAGAAACAAUUCAGAUUGGCCAAGAUCAAAUAACUAAAAGUUGGGGAGUUGGAACCUACUAAAACUGACUCCAAAUUAAUACAGUGCUUGUAGCCACUUCUGUAAUAAUGGCUGUCCUGGAACUCCUGGGCUCAAGUGAUCCUCCUGCCUCAGCCUCUCCUGGAUACCUGGAACUACAGAUGUGCAUCACCCUGACUGCCCAUGUACUCUUCUCUUUUACUCCCAGGCAUUCUUGUUCUCUCUUUGGUGCUUACCUCCAAAUCCUCUCUGAGGUACCCUGUGAAUACAUUUUGGUUCCUAUUUAACUUAACUUGUCCUCCUCUGCCCAAAAAAAUACCCAUUAUCUCAGGGAACUGACCCCAUUUAGGAUUAGGAGAGAACUUCCAGCUUCACAGAAGUUCAGGCAUUUGACAAAAGCUCUUGACUUUCCAUUUCUGCCUCCAAUUUACCUAUUUAGUCAACUACAUCUUUCUAUUUGCAGGUGUGGUUAGAUAUCUCUUUAGGUUUUCCUGAAUAUUUUUCAUAAACCUCUUUCAGGGUGCUAACUAGUCUGCAAGACCAGCCGGCCAGCCAAAAAAACAUAACUAGAAUAUAGACACCUCCAUUUUGAGUUAAACUGUUACAUAGGAAUUACUAAAUUUGUAAAUUAUAAGUCCUGAUUUUUUUCUUCCCAAUGCUUAUUUUUAACUUGUUUUUUUAACUUACUUUGAGAUUGCUUUGUAUUUUCCAGACCAUCAAAAUUGGAAAAGUUACACUAAGACCAGAUAAUAUUAUAAAGUAGGUAUAAACUUAAUGAAAUGUCUACAUUUUGGGGCAUACACAACAACCUUCCUUUUAUUCUUUUGCAAACUUGAACUCUCAAAUUUCAAAUAUAAUGUUCCACCUUUUCUGGGGCUUCCUUUAGCUUUUCUUGGCGCACUUUUCAGUGUUGAUUACUAAUUCUAGCUCCCAGUGCUGUGUUGAAUAUUAGUUGGUACCAAAAUCUAAGGUGGCUGAUUUCUAAAUUGAUUACUCUAACUGGCUGUUCAUUAGAAUUGACUGCAGAGCUUUCUAAAUAUUUGAGAUGCCCUUGAAUGAGAAUCAACUAAAUGAGACUUGAUAGAUGAGGAAUCUCUUAACUUUCACUGUGAUUCUAAUAGGCAGCUAAAUUUAGGGCAGCGCUAGAUCAUUACCCCACAUCUGGCUUCCCACCUCAGGAAAAAUAGGAAUUGAACUCUGAAUUCCAACAGUAAUUACCAAUGACCAUCUCACAAAAAGCAUUGUCCUUCCUCCAUUCCAAAGUUAGACCCUUACAUUUCAUUAACUCACAUCCACACUAACCUUUGUAUCUAGACUUGGCACCCCAUACUCAGCAGUUAAAGUAUUUCUCAGUCUUACCAUAUAUUUGUGACUUAAUUUGUUGUCUAGCCCAUCCCUUAAAGGUGUUUUUUUUUUUUGUUUUCCCUAUUGCCAAGUUUUUCCUCCUCUACUUUUCUUGCCUUUUUUUUUUUUAAUUGGGAUGUUUCUUUUUGUUUUGCUUCCCUUCCCCCUUUAAAUUUGUGGUUUAUAAUAUUUACAUUCUUCAGGACAGAGUCCAUGUUAAAUCUCUCAUUUUUAACCAAAAAUUUAAUUAUACAUGAAAGUAAGAAUGUAUUUGGGCAGAAUAUACAUACAUAGAGUAUAACUUAAUUCUAUUUAGGUGUGGUCAUACAUGAUGUGGAGUUACCCUGGUCUCUAAUUCUGUUGUCUUUCCUGUUCCCCUUCCUAGUCCCUUUUCCUUGUUUCCCUUUGUCUAAUCCAGUGGGCUUCUAUAUUCUUCCCCUCCCCACCCUCCCUUAUUGUGGUUUAGCAUCCAUAAAUCAGAACAAUUGGCCCUUGGUUUUGGGGAGGAUUGUCUUAUUUCUCUUAGCAUGAAAUAAGAUCUACCCAUUUACCAGCAAAUGCCUUAAUUUCAUUCUUCUUUAUGGCUGAAUAAUAUUCCAUUGUGUGUAUAUACCACAUUUUCUUUACCCAUUCAUCUGUUGAGGGACACCUACAUUGUUCCAUAGCUUGGCUAAUGUGAGUUGAGCUGCUGACAUGAAUAUUUGCCUUCUUUCUUUAGCACUUUUUUUCCCUUAUCUUCCCAGCUGCCAGCUUUUUAUUUCCCAAGGAAUUGUCCUUGGCCCUCUUCUCUCUCUUAUGGAUACACUUGGUAUGCUGAUAGUUUUGAAUAUCACCUUCCUUUUGAACACUCCAUACCUGUGUUUGAUUAAACCUAUGCAGUGUCUCCAGAAAAAUGUAUAACAGAAAAUUCAGCCUACAUUUUUUUAAUUCACAGACCCCCAAAAUUCUUCCAUUGCAGCAUUCAUGUAUACUGAAAUAUAUCACUUUGUUUAACAUGUAUAAUGGCUGCAUGUCCAAGAAAGUUCAUCAUCUAUUUGAAAAUUACCAGGUUUUAGUCAUGAAAAUCAGUUUUUUAGAACACAUGACCCAUUUGAAUCCUUUACAUCUGCUAUUAAUUCUCCAAAAGAUAUCCUUCCUAUCAAUGUGGCUUUCACUUACAGUUAUCCUUGAAGCUCACAUAUUACCAUCUUUGUAAAGUAUUCCUUAACCCACCUCCAGGUGAUUUGGUAUGCCUACUUCUAUCUUAGCAUUUAUCUUGUGUUUUUUAUUUUUAUUGCAUUAGUACUGGAAUAAGACAAAGGCAGGUUCAAAUUUUGUAUAACAUCUGAAGUGAGUAGCUGAAUUUUAUCUAUAAAAUGGAAAUAUCAUCUAUCAUGUAGCAUAGUUUUAAGUAUCAAAGAAAAUACUUAUAGAAAGUCUGCCAGUGCCUACCACAUAGUAAGACCUCAAUAAACAAAUAUGUUUCAGUGUUUUA
Marmota monax (woodchuck) is the source of this 4822-nucleotide long non-coding RNA. RefSeq lists it as uncharacterized. The transcript has 2 exons. The record is from RefSeq and is a predicted model, not a curated record. NCBI's taxonomy places the organism in Eukaryota, Metazoa, Chordata, Mammalia, Rodentia, Sciuridae.